UCUGUGGAAUAAGGAAUAUUUUACUGCUACUUAUGCUUAUUAUCAUUAUGAUUGCAUUAAUUAACUUUGCAUUAAGUCAUGAUCAUUGCAUUAAACCAUAUAAUAAUCACUUCAUUGAAGCAGUUAUUGAAGCUGCUGAUAUUACAUUAAAGUCUGUAUUACAGGUGUUAUCAUAAUUACAUAAUAUUCUUUACACAUUGCAAUUUGGUGCUUAUUAAUGAGUUGUGGCUCAGUCAAUUGAUUAGAAGGUUGAAAGCUCCGUUGGGUGUGAAUGUCCCGGCGAAACAUGGAGUAAGUGGCUUGGAGCUAUGGAAGGUUCAAUGCAUGCACGCCUACAAAACACAUAUAAUACAUUUAAUCAAGAAACAGGCUUGAGGGAAGGCCUGAAUGUAUUCAGCUUCUUGUUGCAGUUGAGUUUGCCCAGAUACAGGUGACAGAAGAGGUGGCCAGAUGACUACCAUCCCCAAGGACCGUCUGGAGGGUGCAGCGAGGGGCCUUAUAUGGAAAUUGUGAUAGAAAACAGGAACUUCUAUGUCUAUUUUAGUUUAUUAAAAUGAAUAUUUACUGUAACUGACAUAUCAUAAUGUUUGUAAACGCAUGAAGGGGCGUUAACCAACCCUGACGUUAUAAAAGCAAUCUGAAGUGUAUUUUUGGGCGGAGUUCUACAACUGAUGUUUGGCAGUUUGUACCUCCCCGCAUGUGUAUUCAAUAAACUCUUCCGUUUGAUUGCAUCCUUCUGGGCCUUUGGUAUUUUGUUUUGGAUCUCAGUAUUUCGAAUCGGGACAGUUUUGGUGCCGUGACCCGGAUAUCUGAGUCCAUUGACUUGGUUCUGAGGUUCUGGUGGAGAAAAACAGAGGCCAGAGGUGGUCAAGCAGGCAGACGGGACCCAGUGGUUCGGCUGAGUGUUCAGGGCCCUGACAAAAAAGAGUGAAAACAGAAACUGAAGCAGCUGAAUGAAGACACACUGGGCCAGUAAGUGAACAGGAAGACCAGUGCAGAGAUGAAAACAUUGAAAGAGAACCACAGUGAGUGUUGCAAAUGGAUGAUCAUGUGCCAAGGAAUAUCCGGUUGGAUGAAAGAGGAUCUAAAGAGCAUCCUAAAGUCUUUGCAAGAUUUGCAACAGGAAAAUAAGAAACUAGAGGGACAGAUACAGACUCUGUCCAUAAACAAAGAGGAACUGGAGCUCCUGAAUGAUGUACCAUAUGACACAGUGGAGAAUCAACUAGCCGAUGCAGUCAGGAGAACCACAUGACUGCACCAAGAAAGCUGAAGCUGAAGAAAAGUCAGAGAGACCUGGAGACUUGAAGGGGCAACAGUCAGCUCAGAGAGCAGAAGAAAUUGCACUGAGCAGGGCCCUGAGACUGGCUAAAGAAAAGAGAGCGAAGAUAUACACAGAUUCAGCUUGUGCAUUUGGGGCAGCACACGUGGAGCCCGGUCAGUGGAAGAGAGCAGGCUUCAGAGCGGCAACAAAUGCUCACAUUUCAAAGAAGAAAGAAAUGGGAGGACUGGAAAAGGUCCUGGAUGACCCAAACGAGGUCAGUAUCAUAAAAUGCAAAGGAUCCUCUCAAGCAACCACAUUGGUGGCACAAGGGAACCAGAAAGCAGAUGAGGCUGCGAAGUAAGCAGCAGGCUACAAAGGAAAGCAGCAAAUGGUGAGAUGCCGGGGUAAAAAGAGUGAGUUCGGACGAAGAAGUCCGAGAAAAGGACACCUUGAGUUGAGCAAGGUGUUUAAAUGACUCAGGAUUUCAGAGAAUCGAGUCAGCUGUGAUCUUGAGUUCUAAUGGUAAAUUGAUUUUAAAGGAAAAUCAAUGUUGACCAUGUUGAAGUAAUUGUGAAAAUAUUACUAGAUGUGCUGUGAUACAAGUGAAGAAUAAGUUGUGUACAUGGGGAUACACAAUUGUGUUGAUAUUGAUGGAUCGGCUGCAGUCCAUGUGAUAAGUUAAUACUGGGUGCAUUGAGACAAGAAA
This is a long non-coding RNA of Oreochromis niloticus (Nile tilapia), 1967 nucleotides long. RefSeq lists it as uncharacterized. The transcript has 2 exons. NCBI's taxonomy places the organism in Eukaryota, Metazoa, Chordata, Actinopteri, Cichliformes, Cichlidae. The record is from RefSeq and is a predicted model, not a curated record.